ACCCGCUGAACUUAAGCAUAUCAAUAAGCGGAGGAAAAGAAACCAACAGGGAUUGCCUUAGUAACGGCGAGUGAAGCGGCAACAGCUCAAAUUUGAAAUCUGGCCUCUUUGGGGUCCGAGUUGUAAUUUGCAGAAACUACUUCGGGGGCAGCACCGGUCCAAGUUCCCUUGAACGGGACGUCGCAGAGGGUGAGAACCCCGUACCUGGCCGCUUGCAGCCCCUAUGUGAAGUUCUUUCGACGAGUCGAGUUGUUUGGGAAUGCAGCUCUAAACGGGUGGUAAAUUUCAUCCAAAGCUAAAUACCGGCUAGAGACCGAUAGCGCACAAGUAGAGUGAUCGAAAGGUGAAAAGCACUUUGAAAAGAGAGUUAAACAGCAUGUGAAAUCGUUGAAAGGGAAGCAUUUGCGACCAGACGCAGGCCGGCCGAUCAGUUAGGGACCUCCCUGGCGUACUCGGUCGUGCCUGGGCCCGCAUCAGCUCUGGCGGCCAGAGAAAGGCCUUGGGAAUGUAACUCCCCCGGGAGUGUUAUAGCCCAGGGUGCCAUCUGGCCCGCUUCGGCUGAGGACCGCGACUUGUCGAGGAUGCGGGCGUAAUGGUCGCAAGUGACCCGUCUUGAAACACGG
Molecule: ribosomal RNA, 623 nt
Filed under: uncultured fungus
Lineage: Eukaryota; Fungi
Description: eukaryotic LSU rRNA
Rfam family: Eukaryotic large subunit ribosomal RNA
Source: RNAcentral